CGAAAACUUUACAAUGCUGGCAACAGCGAUAAGGGAACCUCGAGUGCCAGGUUACAAAUCUGGCUGUCGAGAUGCCUAAAAAGCAUUUCAUAGCAAGGGCCGGGCAAGACCGGUGCCAGCCGCCGCGGUAACACCGGCGGCUCGAGUGGUAACCGUUAUUAUUGGGUCUAAAGGGUCUGUAGCCGGCCGGAUAAGUCUCUUGAGAAAUCUGGCAGCUUAACUGUCAGGCUUUCAGGAGAUACUGUCUGGCUCGAGGCCGGGAGAGGUGAGAGGUACUUCAGGGGUAGGGGUGAAAUCUUGUAAUCCUUGAAGGACCACCAGUGGCGAAGGCGUCUCACCAGAACGGACCUGACGGCAAGGGACGAAAGCUAGGGGCACGAACCG
Molecule: ribosomal RNA, 384 nt
Filed under: uncultured bacterium
Lineage: Bacteria
Description: bacterial SSU rRNA
Rfam family: Archaeal small subunit ribosomal RNA
Source: RNAcentral